GCCGUUGUAGCUCAGGGGUAGAGCGUUCCCUUGGUAAGGGAGAGGCCGAGAGUUCAAAUCUCUCCAAUGGCA
Molecule: transfer RNA, 72 nt
Filed under: Candidatus Cytomitobacter primus
Lineage: Bacteria; Pseudomonadati; Pseudomonadota; Alphaproteobacteria; Holosporales; Holosporaceae
Also listed under: 1 other name
Rfam family: tRNA
About the family: Transfer RNA (tRNA) molecules are approximately 80 nucleotides in length.
Source: Rfam by way of RNAcentral